UGAUAUGGGGAUGGCGCCAAUGCCAUGGCCGCACGGUCCGAGUUCGACACGCAAAACCAGAACCGCUGAGCUUGAGGCCUCUGCACUGCUUCCCUCCCAGUCCAUCCCUUCCCUUCCCUUCCGCUUCCCCCACGCCACCCGUCUACUCCGUCGUCUUGUCGCAGGCAGCAGGUGGAAAUCUCCGCCAUUAAUAGCGCACCCCGGGGAUCCUCCUCGGCCGCAAACAAAACCCUCCUCGUCAUCCGCGGCCGCUUUUCCCCUGACCCCUGCCUCGACCAAUCCUCCCUCCCACACACAUCACACCCACAAGACAAAAAAAAGCGCCUUUGAGCGCCGCGCGACCUCUGGUGCUUGGUGUCGUCGCGACGCGUUAGUUUCAGAGCGCGCACGCGCGUUUGUGCUGUGGGGGUUGGGAAGAGCCGAAGAGCGAGGCGGCAGCGCGAUCGAGAGCGGUUCGGCGGGCGGCGGCCGAGCCGAUGGGAAGGGCACCCUGCUGCGACAAGAACAAGGGCCUCAAGAAGGGGCCCUGGACGCCGGAGGAGGACAAGCUCCUCGUCGACUACAUCCAGACCAACGGCCAUGGCAGCUGGCGCCUGCUCCCCAAGCUCGCAGGGCUGAACCGGUGCGGCAAGAGCUGCCGACUGCGGUGGACCAACUACCUCCGGCCGGACAUCAAGCGCGGGCCCUUCACAGCCGAGGAGGAGAAGUCCAUCGUCCAGCUCCACGCCAUCGUCGGCAACAAGUGGUCCAUGAUCGCGGCGCAGCUCCCAGGCCGGACGGACAACGAGAUCAAGAACUACUGGAACACGCACCUCAAGAAGCAGCUGCGCCGGAUGGGCCUCGACGAGCCCCCGCCCGGCCCGGCCGCCGGCUGCCCCGCCGCGCGCCACAUGGCGCAGUGGGAGACGGCCAGGCUCGAGGCCGAGGCGCGCCUCUCCCUCCUCGCCGCCACCGCCGCCUCCUCCGGCACCACCGCGACCACCACAGCCACCACCACCACGUCUGCAGCCUCCUCGUCCUCCACCACCGUCGCUGGCGCGGCCGACAACAAGGCCUCCAACCCCGCGGACAUCUUCCUGCGCCUGUGGAGCUCGGACAUCGGGGACUCCUUCCGCCGCAAGACGGACACGACGCCAGCGGUGCCCGCGCUUCCGGCGCCCGUCGUCAAGAGGAAGGACACGGCGAUCAAGCAGGAGCCGCGGGCGCUGCUGCUCGGCCUCAGGGACGACUCCUCGGCGGCGUCCAACGACAACGAGACGGAGGUGGCGGAGGCGCUGGAGGCGAAGUACCAGAUGUUCCUCGACUUCGCGGGCGAAGAGCUGGGAUUGUUCCAUGGCCGGCACGGCGGCUUCUCGCUGUUCCCGCCGCUCGACGUGCUCGCUGAGGCGUCCCUGGACUCGGCUUUCAAGUGAAGACGUAGCCAGCACCACGUACGUACACGGUACACAUACGUACGGGUACGGCAAGCGGCAGUAGCCAACUGGCCAUGCCUCUACGGCUUAGCUAUACGCCUCGAAAUGCGCGCAUGGAUGUAUAUAGAUAUGCGUGUGACUGCACUGGCAUAUCAGCAAUUUUUUGGGUUAGGCCAGCAAGUGCGUGGUUUAGCUUGUUAUUAUCCAGGGUUGGUUUUGGUAGGACAUCAUGGUGUAUUAUUGCCUGUAUGAGGAUUCUCUGUUCAUUGGAGAUGCUCUAAUACAUCACGAGAUGUUCUUCAAUCUUCGGUUAGAUUCUGGGACUGCUUUUUCGCA
RNAcentral lists this unclassified non-coding RNA (1748 nucleotides) under Zea mays. RNAcentral describes it as "misc RNA Zm00001eb185940". Lineage: Eukaryota; Viridiplantae; Streptophyta; Magnoliopsida; Poales; Poaceae. The record is from RNAcentral.